CGGAUUUGAUGGGCUGAAGGCUUCAUUUCUAGGCUCCUUGAGCCUAUGUCUGAUGGAGUACAGAGUCUAAUGGUUCUGGCAAAACGUUAAUUGGACGUCAGUAAGCAGCAUCCUGAGGUGUAGGUUCUCGGAGUUACACAGCACAGGAACACUUUUCGACCCAACACAUCCGUGAUGACCAAAGCAUUUUCCUGAAUACAGGAUUGGUGCCAGAGGACUGGAGGUCUUCAAUCCCCAUACGAUUCUUCAGAAAGAGAGGAAAGGCUAAGCCAAGGAAAUCCAGGCUAGAUAUUCGACUGAAAAGUCACAAGUCUGCAGAUAUUUGAAGACUGAACUGAAAACAGAAAAUGAUAGAAUAGCUCAACAGGUCAGACAGCAUCUGUGAAAAGAGAAAUAGAGUUAAUGAAACUUGCAUUUCUUUACACAAACAGCUUUUUGAGCUCCUCUCCCCCAACAUUCAGCAUUUCCUGGUUUAAGUUUAACUUUGGUGCUCUGCACAUUAUUGGAUUCAAUUUUGAGCAGCACAAACGUUUAUUUUGCAAGAUACAGGAUAACAAGGAACAGACUUAGAAUGAGAGAAGAAACUUCUGCUUCGUCCUUUCUCGUCCUGAAGAAGAGUCUCGGCCCGAAGCUUCAUUUCUCUCCAUAGAUCCAUAGAUUUCUCCAGCAUUUAGAGUUUUUAAAAAAACUUUAAAGAUUAGCUCAUUUAUCACAUUUACAUCAAAACAUACAGUGAAAUGUGUCACUUGCAUCAGGGAUGUGCUGGGGCCACCAUAUUACAUGUGUGUUGCUCGAGGUUUCCAGCAUCUGCAAAAUCUCUUGUUCCUCUAAACAUAAAGGCUUUCCCAUCUGGGUUUUCCACACCUUCCUGAUCAAAGUCCAUAAGAGCAUAAGGCA
Molecule: long non-coding RNA, 897 nt
Organism: Mobula hypostoma (lesser devil ray)
Lineage: Eukaryota; Metazoa; Chordata; Chondrichthyes; Myliobatiformes; Myliobatidae
Exons: 3
Source: RefSeq, a predicted model, not a curated record